Molecule: ribosomal RNA, 303 nt
Filed under: uncultured bacterium
Lineage: Bacteria
Description: partial 16S ribosomal RNA
Rfam family: Bacterial small subunit ribosomal RNA
Source: RNAcentral
AGCAGUCGCCGCGGGAAUACAGAGGGUGCGAGCGUUAAUCGGAUUUACUGGGCGUAAAGCGUGCGUAGGAGGCUUCUUAAGUCGGAUGUGAAAUCCCUGAGCUUAACUUAGGAAUUGCAUUCGAUACUGGGAAGCUAGAGUAUGGGAGAGGAUGGUAGAAUUCCAGGUGUAGCGGUGAAAUGCGUAGAGAUCUGGAGGAAUACCGAUGGCGAAGGCAGCCAUCUGGCCUAAUACUGACGCUGAGGUACGAAAGCAUGGGGAGCAAACAGGAUUAGAUACCCCGGUAGUCCCUGUCUCUUAUAC